RNAcentral lists this ribosomal RNA (253 nucleotides) under uncultured bacterium. RNAcentral's name for it is "partial 16S ribosomal RNA". It matches the Rfam family "Bacterial small subunit ribosomal RNA", at positions 524 to 776 of the family's 1533-position model. The record is from RNAcentral.
GACGAACCGAGCGAACGUUAUUCGGAAUCACUGGGCUUAAAGGGCGCGUAGGCGGGCCGUCAAGUCGAGGGUGAAAUCCCCCAGCUUAACUGGGGAAGUGCCUCCGAUACUGGCGGUCUCGAGGGAGAUAGGGGCGUGCGGAACUUCCGGUGGAGCGGUGAAAUGCGUAGAUAUCGGAAGGAACACCGAUGGCGAAAGCAGCGCGCUGGAUCUCUUCUGACGCUGAGGCGCGAAAGCCAGGGGAGCGAACGGG